Molecule: ribosomal RNA, 497 nt
Filed under: uncultured bacterium
Lineage: Bacteria
Description: partial 16S ribosomal RNA
Rfam family: Bacterial small subunit ribosomal RNA
Source: RNAcentral
GACGAACGCUGGCGGCGUGCCUAAUACAUGCAAGUUGAGCGCUGAAGGUUGGUACUUGUACCAACUGGAUGAGCAGCGAACGGGUGAGUAACGCGUGGGGAAUCUGCCUUUGAGCGGGGGACAACAUUUGGAAACGAAUGCUAAUACCGCAUAAAAACUUUAAACACAAGUUUUAAGUUUGAAAGAUGCAAUUGCAUCACUCAAAGAUGAUCCCGCGUUGUAUUAGCUAGUUGGUGAGGUAAAGGCUCACCAAGGCGAUGAUACAUAGCCGACCUGAGAGGGUGGUUGGGCACAAUGGGACCGAGACACGGCCCAAACUCCUACGGGAGGCAGCAGUAGGGAAUUUUCGGCAAUGGACGAAAGGCUGACCGAGCAACGCCGGGGGAGUGAAGAAGGUUUUCGGAUCGUAAAACUCUGUUGGUAGAGAAGAACGUUGGGGAGAGUGGAAAGCUCAUCAAGUGACGGUAACUACCCAGAAAGGGACGGCUAACUACGUG